GACCUGCUGGUGAAUGGUUCACACCCAUCUUUCAUAAAACGAGUGUAGCAUUGCAAUUGAAAAUGGGAGUCUCUGGUUCGACUCCGGGUCAGGUCU
Mycena filopes is the source of this 96-nucleotide non-coding RNA. NCBI's taxonomy places the organism in Eukaryota, Fungi, Basidiomycota, Agaricomycetes, Agaricales, Mycenaceae. The record is from the annotation of a GenBank genome assembly.